UAUCGAGUUUUGAACGGGUUGUCUGCUGGCUCGCAAGGGCAUGUGCACGCCUGUCUCAUCCACUCUCAACUUCUGUGCACUUUUCAUAGGCCGGCUUGUGGGUGCGUUCGCGCACUUGUAGGUGUCGGGCUUAUGCUUUACUACAAACGAUUCAGUUUUAGAAUGUCAUACUUUGCUAUAACGCAAUUAUAUACAACUUUCAGCAACGGAUCUCUUGGCUCUCGCAUCGAUGAAGAACGCAGCGAAAUGCGAUAAGUAAUGUGAAUUGCAGAAUUCAGUGAAUCAUCGAAUCUUUGAACGCACCUUGCGCUCCUUGGUAUUCCGAGGAGCAUGCCUGUUUGAGUCUCAUGGAAUUCUCAACCUUCAGCUUUAUUGAUGAAGGCUUGGACUUGGAGGUCGUGCCGGCUCUCGUAGUCGGCUCCUCUGAAAUGCAUUAGUGCGAACGUUACCAGCCGCUUCAGCGUGAUAAUUAUCUGCGUUGCUGUGGAGGGUAUUCUAGUGUUCACGCUUCUAACCGUCUUCGGACAAAUUUCUGAACUCUGAGCUCAAAUCAG
Molecule: ribosomal RNA, 554 nt
Filed under: Bjerkandera adusta
Lineage: Eukaryota; Fungi; Basidiomycota; Agaricomycetes; Polyporales; Phanerochaetaceae
Description: eukaryotic LSU rRNA
Rfam family: 5.8S ribosomal RNA (bases 195-348)
Source: RNAcentral